RNAcentral lists this unclassified non-coding RNA (229 nucleotides) under Hevea brasiliensis (rubber tree). The record is from RNAcentral. Lineage: Eukaryota; Viridiplantae; Streptophyta; Magnoliopsida; Malpighiales; Euphorbiaceae.
GGGCUCUAAAUUUGAAGAUGUGUCCACAUCUUCUCCAUUAACAUAACUAGCAAUCUUGUAAUCUGCUACAGGUACUUUCCCACGUCCACAAUGAACCUCAGCAGCCAAGCCAGAAUACUGUAUGCUGUUUAUUAGCUCUUGAGGAUGUUCAAUGCGCAAUCCAACAGCAAAAUCUUUUGGGACCAAGUGAAAAUUAUGAGAAAGAAGCAUUUGAUAUAUAUCACGUGCA